RNAcentral lists this ribosomal RNA (422 nucleotides) under uncultured bacterium. Its description in RNAcentral is "partial 16S ribosomal RNA". It matches the Rfam family "Bacterial small subunit ribosomal RNA", at positions 359 to 773 of the family's 1533-position model. The record is from RNAcentral.
GAAUUUUGGACAAUGGGCGAAAGCCUGAUCCAGCAAUGCCGCGUGCAGGAUGAAGGCUUUCGGGUUGUAAACUGCUUUUGUACGGAACGAAAAGAUUUUGGUUAAUACAUUGGAUUCUUGACGGUACCGUCAGAACACGCACCGGCUAACUACGUCCCUGUCGCCGCGGUAAUAGGUAGGGGGCAAGCGUUAAUCGGAAUUACUGGGCGUAAAGCGUGCGCAGGCGGUUGUGUAAGACAGAGGUGAAAUCCCCGGGCUCAACCUGGGAACUGCCUUUGUGACUGCAAGGCUAGAGUACGGCAGAGGGGGGUGGAAUUCCGCGUGUAGCAGUGAAAUGCGUAGAUAUGCGGAGGAACACCGAUGGCGAAGGCAACCCCCUGGGCCUGUACUGUCGCUCAUGCACGAAAGCGUGGGGAGCAAAC